This is a long non-coding RNA of Mercenaria mercenaria, 2779 nucleotides long. RefSeq lists it as uncharacterized. NCBI's taxonomy places the organism in Eukaryota, Metazoa, Mollusca, Bivalvia, Venerida, Veneridae. The record is from RefSeq and is a predicted model, not a curated record. The transcript has 2 exons.
GGGAAAAACCAGAAACUCUUUAUAAUCUUUUAUAUUUAUUCAUAUUAAAUGUUUCGUACAAAUGUAUUUGUUUAUUUUUUGGUAAAUAAAUAUGAUAUUAACAGACUGCUGAGUAUACUCUACUAAAUAUAGCACAACCAUUUACAGCAGAGAAUUAUGGGAAGGCAGGUGAAAGGAAUUCUGGGUAGAGAACACUGACGCACAGUUUCUAAGCUAGCAUGGAAGGUAAAAUUUAUUUGCAUAUUUUUCUUGAAUUUACCUGAAAUUUCAGCUAAACAAUAAUCAGCAAAGAACAUUUCUGUAUGUAAUCUGAAUUUAAGCAGAAUGAUGUAUCCUACAGGUAGGUUUCAAUGAAACUGACAGUAGCAAGCCACUGCAGACAUUAAAGAAUGAAGGCAAAGCAAAAGAUUUUGUAGCAAAGUAAAACUCUCAAAAAUGACAAUCUGCAAAUGAAACAAUAUUUUCUUAUAUAUCAGUUUAACAUAUUUAAUGUGUUUACAAUGCAUGAGAGUGACAAGCACAGUUUUAUCUGCUUAAAAAAAAAAGAGGGAAUUGCUAGGUAUGUGUAUGCAAUAUAUAUAUGUUGUGCCAAUGCAUAAUGUGUUAACACAAAAUAAACUGUGUGUGCUUUAACUGAAAAAAUAUGGAAAUACAUGAAACUGGCUUCUACAGAAUAAACAGAUAUAUAUGUAGCACAUACAAGGAAUGAAAGCAAAGGCUGUAAAUGGUGGGGCUUGGAAUUUUUUUACCUUAAUUCAUUCUUUUAAAUGUCUCUAGUUUAGCUGAACAAUUUCUGGAGUAAUGCAUAUUUACUUGUACUCAUGCAUAUAUUCCUUACACGUAGUAGUGUGGACAUAAGCAGGAUUUUUACAUGAUUGACUAAACCCAAUUCCUGAAGCCUGCCUUUCCAUAAAACUGCUAUAUCAUCACAUAACUAAAUCAGAUCUAUUGUCAAAAACAGAGUCCAAAAAGGCAAAAUACAAAAUAAUGUGUUUUUAAAUCUGACCAAGUUACCUUUAAAGUUUACCAAACUAGUUUAAGACAGAAAAAAGAAACAAACAAAGGGGAAGUCACAACCCAAAUGUUCAAUUACAAAAUGCUGAUUCAAAUGCUAGGAUAUUACCAGAAUAAUGUCAUAUAAAGUUUCUGUUGUUACUAAAUCAUAAAAAAAUUUAAAAUCAGUAUUUUACCACAUUCAAUCCAACUACUAUACAACUGUCAAAUUUUUGCCACAAACUUCCCGAUUUCACAGGAUUAUUUAUGUUGUCUUUUCAACAAAAACACCCUAUUAGGUAUUACAGUAAAUUGCAAACUCUCCAUAUACCCUAACACAUGCUAUAUUUGUAACAGAACAUCAAUAUGAACUACAAUUGCACAGAGAAGUUAAGGUUUUAUUGCUAAAUGGUUUCUAUAAAAAAUAGGUUACCGGUAAGUGGAAAUGAAAUAAAGAAAGUUGAAUUAAAGCUUUUUCAUGAGAAAUAUUUGAAAGCGUUCCUUCACGCUCUCAUGGGUAAAGACGACUUGUAUAUUUAUCAUAGACAUAAUGACGUGAUACUGGUUCUCUAAUGGCAAGAUAUGAUAUUCACAAUGCUUAAUUCAUUAAAUGAUACCUAGUUAUUAUCUUUUAAUAUAAUGAAAUAUUGUAGUACAUAUAUAUCUAUAUAUUCAAUAUAAAACAUCUUCAAACAAUAGACUUUCAAGUGAUUAAUAAUAAUACAUCCUUUCCCAAACUCUGACAAUACUUUAACAUAUCAACAAGUAAACUAUACAAGUUAAUAACAAGUUGUUAAAGCUACAUAAGAAAAUACCUGAUCCAAAACUGCAGUAAUUUUUUUCUUUGAAAAUAACCAGUUUCAUUCAUGAUACAAAGAAAGAAGUUUUAAUGGUCAAGAAGAUGGAUCAUCUUUCAAGAUGGAUGCAUAUUUGUGGUAAGUUUGAUCAAUAGUGUGUAAGGGAAUGGAUAAACACAAAGGAAGACAACUCCUGAUAACUGAUAUUUUUUAACUUAACCUGGAGUAUUUGCGCCAGGUUUGACAUUGACCUUAAUUAUUUUAGGCCAGGUUAUUUCAAGGUUUCUGAGAAACAAAGCUAUCAUGAAAUGAGACAGAGAAAAAAAGAUUUCCAAGUCCUUCUCAUAACUAAGAUGAAAAUUAAUUUUGUGUCCUUUUCACAUCAGAUAACACCAAAAAGUUAUACCCUUAUUUCAUACUGACUGUGAAACAAGUUCUGCAAUUUAUAUUAAUACUAUACACCACUAAUUCUUAAAGUAACUUGUUUUCAACACAAGUGAUAUAUUUAAGUCUGAUGAAAUCAGACAAAAAUUUAAGGUCUUCAUAUCUAGUUUAGUUUUGCAAGAUCAAGAAAAGUUCAUAUAAACAUCUAUACAACUAUACAUGGCAAAUCUAUUACCAAUAUGACCUGUACAAAAUAUAUACAUAAUAUAUAUGCAGACAAUUCACAUAUUAUAUAUUCUUUGCAUAAUAACAUUAUAAUGAUAUGUAAGAUUUUAACAUGAUAAUCAUUAACACUUUAACAUGUACAAUAAAAUAAACUUCCAUGGCAACCAUCUACAAUACCGUAAUUACAAAAAUGUAGACAUCUGUGUACUUAAGACAUUGUAAUAAUAAACAACUCUGAUAUUGUUUCUAAAAAGAGUGGGUAUCUAUUUAAGUCAGAUUCUAAACUCAUUCCCUACUGUACAUCACACAAAACAAACAAUGGAAUGUGAAUAUUUUGAUUUGUUCUUCUCAAUAUCUAUAUUCCUGAAUGAUGUUUUUUU